Molecule: long non-coding RNA, 1424 nt
Filed under: Vulpes vulpes (red fox)
Lineage: Eukaryota; Metazoa; Chordata; Mammalia; Carnivora; Canidae
Description: lncRNA (ENSVVUG00000018475.1)
Source: RNAcentral
CUUUCAGAGGACUAUCUGCUUCUCCAAUAUUCAGGGGUCCAUGUUGCUUUUAUAAUUAUACACACACGAUUAUAUAGUUUCAAAAAAGAGAAAGAUGAGAGAGAAGGCACAUGUACACACAUGAGAGAGAAAGAAAAAGGGAGAGAGAGGGGGAUGGAGAAGGAGAUGAAAGGACACCCGCCCAACCCACACUCACAUCAUAAAGGCUGUAUUAUGGUGGGUUUUAAAAAUAAUUCUGCGAUAUGCUUUCAAUUCCUGAAAAUCCUAUUGUAAUGAAGCUUUUUCCAUGGUUUUCAUCCUUUCAACAGGAAGAAUAAUACUAGCUGAAAUAAAGGGGUCAUUGAGUCUGAAAGCUGGCUUUUCUUGAAUCUUUACUGAGUCUUAAAAGCCUGGGUAUGUUGGAGGAGAAAAAAUAUUCCUCAUUUUUAGAAGCCCAUUUUACACUCAAGAGCAAAGCACGCAGCCCGUGUCAGAGAACAGGGAAGCUAAAGUGGAAGGACUACAUCACUACUGACAGGAAGCUGCCCUGGGUGCUGGCAGGAAGAGAGCCAAUGCAUGGAGAGAAAAACAGGAGCAGGAUUCCAGAAGUCUGCUGUCUUGUUUUCCCCGAUCCUCCAUUAGGAAGAAGACAUUCUCAAAUUGGAUAAUUUGUCUGCCUCUAGGCCAGACUUUGUGACUGUGGACAAAUGGGGGAAAAAAAAGUUGCUUUGAAGAAAUAAUGGGAUGAGACAUGUGCGGUUUUUUCCCAAAAUAUUUUUCUUGAUGAGGAACUGGGAAAGAAGGUGAAGAAAAAGAGGUUCUAGAAAUAAUUGGAAAAAUCUUUCUCCUCCUGGGCAUGUGUGAGUACUGGGGGUGAGCAGAAGGACCAGGUGCCAACAAUGAACAACUGUAAAUUCCAAACCAAUGUAAUCUAGGGUUGCUUAAGGGCAGAAACCUUAUCCCCAAAGGAAGGAAUAUUAUCCACCCCCUUUCCUUCUAACGACUCGAGGUCUCUGGGAAUAUUCUCAGUAUGGGACACCAGGUUAGUGCAACAACAAGUGGAAUGAGGGAAGAGCAUCUUGUAGGCAUGCUGCUUCUCUGGGCUGGGGGUAUAACUACCAUAACUUCGUAAGCUCCAACUGCGUGUGCUCUGUCUCCUUGGCCCCAAAUGAAGGGGUUUUUUGUUAUUGACUUUGGGUUUUUCCUAAAGAAAAACUGUAGGAACCACUUCCUAUUGGUUUUCUGUUAUUGACUUCAGGCUUUUCCUAAAGAAAAACUGUAGGAACCACUUCUUAGAUGAAGUUCUAUUUCAGUUUCCUUAUAUGUAAAAUGCGAGAAUUUAUGUUACCUAACUGAUAAGAAAAUGAUAUAAUACAUAGUGAAACACAAAUCACAGUCCCUGCUCAGUAAAUAAAUGUAAACUAGUAACCCUAUUACUAUUAUUA